Molecule: ribosomal RNA, 330 nt
Filed under: uncultured bacterium
Lineage: Bacteria
Description: bacterial SSU rRNA
Rfam family: Bacterial small subunit ribosomal RNA
Source: RNAcentral
CGCGUAGGCGGGCGAGCCAGUCCGGGGUGAAAUCUUUCGGCCCAACCGGAAAAGUGCCUUGGAGACGACUCGUCUAGAGGGAGGUAGGGGCAGACGGAACUUCCGGUGGAGCGGUGAAAUGCGUUGAUAUCGGAAGGAACGCCGGUGGCGAAAGCGGUCUGCUGGAUCUCUACUGACGCUGAUGCGCGAAAGCCAGGGGAGCGAACGGGAUUAGAUACCCCGGUAGUCCUGGCCCUAAACGAUGGGUACUAGGUAGUGGACUGUCAUGGGUUCCCUGCCGAAGCAAAAGUGUUAAGUACCCCGCCUGGGGAGUAUGGUCGCAAGGCUGAA